RNA transcript from Pyrus x bretschneideri (Chinese white pear), 797 nucleotides. It is a transcript of the gene named folate-biopterin transporter 1, chloroplastic-like, with no coding region annotated. Lineage: Eukaryota; Viridiplantae; Streptophyta; Magnoliopsida; Rosales; Rosaceae. The transcript has 2 exons. The record is from RefSeq and is a predicted model, not a curated record.
UUCUUGAAAUCAAUCACGGUCUCUGAAUUUUGUAGGUUAAUUUAUUUAAUAUUACUCUCGAAUUUGUUAUCAGAACCAACUCUAUCUUAAUAAACCCAAUCUAUAUACCUAUUCCAGAUCUGAUACCACCAACCACCCAGUCUAACCCAUUCGCUUCCUUCGGCGGUUUCUCUGAAAUCUCCAAACUACUCAUUUCUCUCUCCAAAGCCCCGCUCCCCCUCUUCUUCGAAAUCGCAACCGUCUUUUACCCGACGCCCACACAAGAACUUGUCACUGACGCAGAGCCCGCCGGAAGAUUCCUCCGGAGAACGACAUGUCGGUCGCCGUCCCCAUGGCCUCGCCCACUCGCCGGCUCAACUUGAAUGACCAGCCGUUCCUCAAUUCCAGGAUUAGUAUGUCUCUCGAUUUAACAUCUAAGAGAAAGGGAUGUGUUGAUAACUGAUAGGGUAAAGGAGGCAAGUAUGCCUUCUCCAAGCAUGACCAAGCAUAGAACGAGCAGUGUGAAAGUUUUUGGGAUCGAAUUGUGCCCUGACAAUGUGGCUGUUGCCAUGGUAUUUUGUUCAAGGUGUCCUAGGCCUUGCAAGGCUUGCUGUCAGUUUUUAACUUUCCAUUUAAAAGACGAUUUGCAUCUCGACCUGGCUGAGGUACAUUUACAUAAUUACAUUCACACUUUCUGUUGUUUUUCGGAACUGGUUUGCUUUACAUUUUUAGCUCUAGUUAUUAAAAGUGGCAUUCUUGAUGAACUGUAAACUCAUAUUGACGUUGGUAUUCACUGAUUCGUAAAGAAUUUGCUUUGA